RNAcentral lists this ribosomal RNA (1574 nucleotides) under metagenome. RNAcentral's name for it is "SSU rRNA". It matches the Rfam family "Eukaryotic small subunit ribosomal RNA", at positions 236 to 1801 of the family's 1831-position model. The record is from RNAcentral.
UAUCAAUUUGAUGAUUCAUAAUAACUAAACGAAGCGCAGAGUCCUAGUGACGGCGCUGAUACAAACGAGUUUCUGCCCUAUCAACUUUCGAUGGUAGUAUAGGGGACUACCAUGGUGUUAACGGGUAACGGGGAAUUAGGGUUCUAUUCCGGAGAGGGGGCCUGAGAAAUGGCCACCACUUCCAAGGAAGGCAGCAGGCGCGCAAAUUACCCAAUCUCAAUUCGAGGAGGUAGUGACAAGAAAUACCGUUGAAGGACACUACGUGUACUUCAUUCGGAAUGAGAACAAUCUAAACACCUUAACGAGGAUCAAUUGGAGGGCAAGUCUGGUGCCAGCAGCCGCGGUAAUUCCAGCUCCAAUAGUGUAUAUUAUUGUUGCUGUAGUUAAAAAGCUCGUAGUUGGAUUUCGAAAUGCGACUGUCAAAGCCCGUCCAAGUGGCGUGGCUCGACUGGUUGCUUUCUGUCUUUGGGUAAUGGGCGUAGCUUCGGUUGCGUUUUCCGUUCCUAAUUGUUUACUUUGAAAAAAUUAGCGCGUUCAAAGCAGGUGUAACUUUGCCUUGAAUAGUUUAGCAUGGGAUAAUAGAAUAGGACCACCGGCCUUAUUUUAUUGGUUUCUAAAGCUGGGGUGAUGAUUAAUAGGGACAGUUGGGGUCGGUCGUAUUGAAUCGUCAGAGGUGAAAUUCUAUGAUUGAUUCAAGACGAACUGGUGCGAAAGCGUCCGACAAGGAUGUUUCCGUUAAUCAAGAACGAAAGUUGGGGGAUCGAAGAUGAUCAGAUACCGUCGUAGUCCUAACCAUAAACUAUGUGGACCAAGGAUCCGAGGAUGUUCCAUGAUGACUCUCCGGGCACUUUGUGAGAAAUCAGAGUAUUUGCAUUCCGGGGGGAGUAUGGCCGCAAGACUGAAACUUAAAGGAAUUGACGGAAGGGCACCACCAGGAGUGGAAUCUGCGGCUUAAUUUGACCCAACACGGGGAAACUCACCAGGUCCGGACACAGUAAGGAUUGACAGAUUGAGAGCUCUUUCUUGAUUCUGUGGGUGGUGGUGCAUGGCCGUUUUUAGUUGGUGGAUUGAUUUGUCUUGUUAAUUCAGAUAACGAGCGAGACCUCAUCCUGCUAAUUAGUGAUGUGAAUUUGGUUCCUCGCAAGGGGUUCCUAUCUGAUUCGUAGACUACUUCUUAGAGGGACUCUCGGCACUUUUAGCCGAUGGAAGUUUGAGGCAAAAACAGGUCUGUGAUGCCCUUAGAUGUCCUGGGCUGCACGCGCGUUACACUGGCUAUUGCAACGAGUGAUUUCCUGCCUCGAAGGGGGUGGGUAAACUUUUGAACGAUAGCCGUGAUUGGGAUUGAACCUUGCAAUUAUUGUUCAUGAACGAGGAAUUCCUAGUAAGCGCAGUUCAUCAAACUGCGCUGAUUACGUCCCUGCCCUUUGUACACACCGCCCGUCGCUUGUACCGAUUGAAUGAUCCGGUGAGGACCUGGGACUGUUAGUAUCUUAUCUUCUCGCAAGGGAAGGUCUGGCUGAUGGAAGCUAGUUCGAAUCAUACCAUUUAGAGGAACAAGAAGUCGUAACAAGGUU